UAUAAUAGUCAAACUUCACCCUAAAAUUGCUACCAUAAGCUAGUCAAACCAGGAUAAUAAUUUGAUAUUAAAGACAACAUCGUCAAUAUGAUAAAAUUGUUAAACAUUAAAGUGUUUCUCAUUAACCAUAAACUUGACCCAUUGUCAUCCAAAUCAAACUCGUCUUAGACCUCUUCACCUUCAUUCUCACAAUUACCCGAAAAUCAAUGAAAUUUUGAACACAAAUAAAAACUCUCUCCC
RNAcentral lists this long non-coding RNA (240 nucleotides) under Lathyrus oleraceus (garden pea). Its description in RNAcentral is "Pisum sativum (pea) long non-coding RNA (PSAT_LNC021650)". Lineage: Eukaryota; Viridiplantae; Streptophyta; Magnoliopsida; Fabales; Fabaceae. The record is from RNAcentral.